Molecule: long non-coding RNA, 1055 nt
Organism: Zonotrichia albicollis (white-throated sparrow)
Lineage: Eukaryota; Metazoa; Chordata; Aves; Passeriformes; Passerellidae
Source: Ensembl
UUAACACGAUAAUCACUCAAGUUCCACAAUGUGGACUUUGCUGUCCAAUUACAAAAUACCACCCAAACCCCUGGAAAAGGACAAGGUGAAGAAGAGGGACCAACCACCACCCUAAACCCUCCAUCUUAUUUAAAUAUAUUUCUAUAUUCUAAAACCCCAAACUUUUAAAUUUCAUUGAAAGCUCAUUUAAAUUCAAUUCAAAGCUCAGCCCUUUAAUUUAAAGCAAAGUCUGGCUUUAAAUCAGGCUCUCUGUAGUUGAUAGGCAAAAGCUGAUACAGCUCAACAGCAGCUCAGCUCAUCUCAUCUCAUCUCAUCUCAUCUCAAUAUGGAUUAUAGGGCUUGAGUGCCUCUUUGUGUCACUGACCACAAUGGAGCCCACAGAAACCAAAAUUUGAAUUAAUCCCUAACGAUUACAACUCUAAAUUUAACCCAAUCUGAUUUUCAUCAUAAAACUCAUUUUCUUCUUUCCACCCGUCCAAUCAGACUCCUUCCAAGGACGAGUUCAUCGUUAUCGACGUGCAGCCAGUGAAGAGCAACAUCCCAGAGAGGAAACUUUCUGUGAGCAGGGGCAGGAAGGAGCUCCCUCCAUGGCGCUCCUCCGACAGGAACCCCACGGACACCAUCCGCUACAACUACCUGGACAACCAGCACCCCAUCGAGCAGGCCCGGCACGCUGGUGACCCCGACGUGAUGGAGAACGUGCAGCCACAAGGAGCACUGAGAGAAGGGAUGGACUCUUUAAGAAUGUAGUAACAACGAUACAACAACAAGUGGUGACCCCGACGUGAUGGAGAACGUGCAGCCACAAGAAACAUUGAGAGAAGGGAUGGAUUCUUUAAGAAUGUAAUAACAACAAGAUAACAAGUGGUGAUCCCGACGUGAUGGAGAACGUGCAGCCACGAGGGACAUCGAGAGAAGGGAUGGACUCUUUAAGAAUGUAAUAACAACAAGAUAACAACAAGUGGUGAUCCCGAUGUGAUGAAGAACACACAGCCACAAGGAACAUGUAGAGAAGGGAUGGACUCUUUAAGAAUAUAAAAACAACAAUACAACAA